This 487-nucleotide ribosomal RNA is filed under the name uncultured bacterium. RNAcentral's name for it is "bacterial SSU rRNA". It matches the Rfam family "Bacterial small subunit ribosomal RNA", at positions 28 to 507 of the family's 1533-position model. The record is from RNAcentral.
GAUGAACGCUAGCGGCAGGCCUAACACAUGCAAGUCGAGGGGUAACAUAGGAAAGCUUGCUUUUCUGAUGACGACCGGCGCACGGGUGCGUAACGCGUAUACAACCUACCUUUUAGCGGGGAAUAGCCCAGGGAAACUUGGAUUAAUGCCCCAUAGUAUAUAGACUUCUCCUGAAGUUUAUAUUAAACAUUUAUGGCUAUUAGAUGGGUAUGCGUCCUAUUAGUUAGUUGGUAAGGUAACGGCUUACCAAGGCAGCGAUAGGUAGGGGUCCUGAGAGGGAGAUCCCCACACUGGUACUGAGACACGGACCAGACUCCUACGGGAGGCAGCAGUGAGGAAUAUUGGUCAAUGGGCGAGAGCCUGAUCCAGCCAUGCCGCGUGCAGGAAGACUGCCCUAUGGGUUGUAAACUGCUUUUACAGAGGAAGAACCACCCCCACGUGUGGGGGUUUGACGGUACUCUGCGAAUAAGGAUCGGCUAACUCCGUG